Molecule: ribosomal RNA, 486 nt
Filed under: uncultured bacterium
Lineage: Bacteria
Description: partial 16S ribosomal RNA
Rfam family: Bacterial small subunit ribosomal RNA
Source: RNAcentral
AUUGAACGCUGGCGGCAUGCCUUACACAUGCAAGUCGAACGGCAGCACGGGUGCUUGCACCUGGUGGCGAGUGGCGAACGGGUGAGUAAUACAUCGGAACAUGUCCUGUAGUGGGGGAUAGCCCGGCGAAAGCCGGAUUAAUACCGCAUACGAUCCACGGAUGAAAGCGGGGGACCUUCGGGCCUCACGCUAUAGGGUUGGCCGAUGGCUGAUUAGCUAGUUGGUGGGGUAAAGGCCUACCAAGGCGACGAUCAGUAGCUGGUCUGAGAGGACGACCAGCCACACUGGAACUGAGACACGGCCCAGACUCCUACGGGAGGCAGCAGUGGGGAAUUUUGGACAAUGGGCGAAAGCCUGAUCCAGCAAUGCCGCGUGUGUGAAGAAGGCCUUCGGGUUGUAAAGCACUUUUGUCCGGAAAGAAAUCCUUGGCUCUAAUACAGUCGGGGGAUGACGGUACCGGAAGAAUAAGCACCGGCUAACUACGUG